RNAcentral lists this ribosomal RNA (719 nucleotides) under uncultured Bacteroidota bacterium. Its description in RNAcentral is "bacterial SSU rRNA". It matches the Rfam family "Bacterial small subunit ribosomal RNA", at positions 326 to 1041 of the family's 1533-position model. Lineage: Bacteria; Pseudomonadati; Bacteroidota. The record is from RNAcentral.
CCGGUCCAGACUCACCGGGAGCACAUAAAGGAAUAUUGCUCAAUGGGAGAAAAUCCUGAAGCAGCCAAACGCCCGCGUGGAAGGGAUGAAGGCUUUUCAGCUUGUAAACUCCUGUAAAGAAGGAAAAAAUUCCCAUUAGAUGGGAAAAUGAUGGUACUUCUAAAGUAAGCCCCGGCUAACUACGUGCCAGCAGCCGCGGUAAUACGUAGGGGGCAAGCGUUGUCCGGAUUUACUGGGUGUAAAGGGUGCUCAGGCGGAUUUGUAAGUCAGAGGUGAAAUCUCACAGCUUAACUGUGAAACUGCCUUUGAUACUGCAAGUCUAGAGUAUGGAAGAGAGUGAUGGAAUGUCUGGUGUAGCAGUGAAAUGCGUAGAUAUCAGAUAGAACACCAAUGGCGAAGGCAGUCACUUGGUCCAUUACUGACGCUAAAGCACGAAAGCGUGGGUAGCAAACAGGAUUAGAUACCCUGGUAGUCCACGCCCUAAACGAUGAAUACUAGAUGUUGGGCCCGAAUGGGUUCAGUAUCUGAGCUAACGCAUUAAGUAUUCCACCUGGGAAGUACGAUCGCAAGGUUGAAACUCAAAGGAAUUGACGGGGGCCCGCACAAGCAGUGGAGCAUGUGGUUUAAUUCGAUGCAACGCGAAGAACCUUACCUAGGCUUGAAAAGUAGAUUAAAGCAGAUGAAAGUAUGUGUGUAGCAAUACGAAUCUACACAGAUGC